Salvelinus sp. IW2-2015 is the source of this 292-nucleotide non-coding RNA. The record is from RefSeq and is a predicted model, not a curated record. Lineage: Eukaryota; Metazoa; Chordata; Actinopteri; Salmoniformes; Salmonidae.
UUGAAAGCGCGAGGGAACAAAUGUCUUGAUUUUAUAAAAAGCCCAUGCCAUAGAAAUAACGUUGAAUCACAUAAUAACAAAUAAAUAAUAGUAAGAAUUACUGUUCCGAAUAAUCGACUUGAUCUGCUAUCAACACUCCUCCCUGGCAUGCGCACUUCCUCAAUUUUACAACAGCAAUAUGGUACCUCCAGUUGUAGUGUCGCCUGUCAUCAAGACUAUCUGAAGCCAAGAGCUGAGGAAGAGAGGCGUGUUGAGGAAGCAGAGAAGAAGAUACGGGAGGAACAGGAAAAAA